Molecule: unclassified non-coding RNA, 337 nt
Filed under: soil metagenome
Description: partial contains 5.8S ribosomal RNA, internal transcribed spacer 2, and large subunit ribosomal RNA
Rfam family: 5.8S ribosomal RNA (bases 1-120)
Source: RNAcentral
GAUGAAGAACGCAGCGAAAUGCGAUAAGUAGUGUGAAUUGCAGAAUUCAGUGAAUCAUCGAAUCUUUGAACGCACAUUGCGCCCCUUGGUAUUCCAUGGGGCAUGCCUGUUCGAGCGUCAUUUGUACCUUCAAGCUCUGCUUGGUGUUGGGUGUUUGUCUCGCCUCUGCGUGUAGACUCGCCUCAAAACAAUUGGCAGCCGGCGUAUUGAUUUCGGAGCGCAGUACAUCUCGCGCUUUGCACUCAUAACGACGACGUCCAAAAGUACAUUUUUACACUCUUGACCUCGGAUCAGGUAGGGAUACCCGCUGAACUUAAGCAUUUCAAUAAGCGGAGGA